AAGUCGUAACAAGGUUUCCGUAGGUGAACCUGCGGAAGGAUCAUUAUCGAGAGGGGCGUCGCUGGUCUUGGCAGAAACAUGCAAGUCCGUGGAGCCAAAAUCUACCCUCAACCCCUUGUGAACCUUGGUUGCCAGUGCGUGCUGCUGCUGGCGAGACAGCUUGGAAUGUAGAAAGUGGUCUCUGUUGGCAGCAGCUAAACCAUUGAGCAGUCAGUCCUUUUUUUUUCUCUCAACCUUGUUGUUUGCAAUGUCUAUUUCAAUCUAAAAGUGCAAACGUGAAUCUCGAUGUGUUCUAUUUUGAGCACGGGUACUCUUUUAUCUCGGCUCAAAAGCGAACCAUCGGAGGCACACUCAAUGCAUUAAGAUAACUUUCAGCAACGGAUCUCUUGGCUCUC
This 395-nucleotide unclassified non-coding RNA is filed under the name fungal sp. RNAcentral describes it as "partial internal transcribed spacer region". The stretch from base 1 to 46 matches the Rfam family "Eukaryotic small subunit ribosomal RNA", at positions 1786 to 1831 of the family's 1831-position model. The record is from RNAcentral. Lineage: Eukaryota; Fungi.